This 721-nucleotide ribosomal RNA is filed under the name uncultured Planctomyces sp. RNAcentral describes it as "bacterial SSU rRNA". It matches the Rfam family "Bacterial small subunit ribosomal RNA", at positions 94 to 797 of the family's 1533-position model. Lineage: Bacteria; Pseudomonadati; Planctomycetota; Planctomycetia; Planctomycetales; Planctomycetaceae. The record is from RNAcentral.
AGUGGCGUAAGGGAGCGUAACANAUGGGCAACGUACCCUGGACUCGGGGANAGCCGCGGGAAACUGCGGCUAAUACCCGAUAAAGUCGCCGGAGGGCAUCCUCUGGCGACCAAAGGUGGGGCCGCAAGGCCUACCGGUCUUUGAGCGACCCAUAUCCUAUCAGCUAGUUGGCGGGGUAACGGCCCACCAAGGCGACGACGGGUAGCGGGUGUGAGAGCAUGACCCGCCUCAUCGGAACUGAGACACUGUCCGGACACCUACGGGUGGCUGCAGUAACGAAUAUUGGGCAAUGGGCGCAAGCCUGACCCAGCAAUGCCGCGUGCGGGAGGAAGUCCUUCGGGAUGUAAACCGCUGUCAGGGUCCGACAACCGAUGCGAGUGAAUAAUUCGCAAAGUUGAGUAGACCCAGAGGAAGCCUCGGCUAACUCUGUGCCAGCAGCCGCGGUAAGACAGAGGAGGCAAGCGUUGUUCGGAAUCAUUGGGCUUAAAGCGCGUGUAGGCGGCUUCGCAAGUGUCUUGUGAAAUCCCGUAGCUCAACUACGGAACUGCUGGGCAAACUGCGGAGCUUGAGGUCGGUAGAGGUGCCUGGAACUCUUGGUGGAGCGGUGAAAUGUGUAGAUAUCAAGAGGAACGCCGGAGGCGAAAGCGGGGCACUGGGCCGAAUCUGACGCUGAGACGCGAAAGCGUGGGGAUCAAACAGGAUUAGAUACCCUGGUAGUCCU